AAAGUGGCGCACGGGUGAGUAACGCGUGGAUAAUCUGCCUUCGAGUCCGGGAUAACACCUCGAAAGGGGUGCUAAUACCGGAUGACAUCAUAGGGUCUUCGGGCCUUAUGAUCAAAGAUGGCCUCUACUUGUAAGCUGUUGCUUGAAGAUGAGUCCGCGUACCAUUAGCUUGUUGGUGGGGUAACGGCCCACCAAGGCCACGAUGGUUAGCUGGUCUGAGGGGAUGAUCAGCCACACUGGCACUGACACACGGGCCAGACUCCUACGGGAGGCAGCAGUGAGGAAUUUUGCGCAAUGGGGGAAACCCUGACGCAGCAACGCCGCGUGAGUGAAGAAGGCUUUCGGGUCGUAAAGCUCUGUCAAGUGGGAAGAAACCUUCCAGGGUAAAUAGUCCUGGGAAUUGACGGUACCACUGAAGGAAGCACCGGCUAACUCCGUGCCAGCAGCCGCGGUAAUACGGAGGGUGCAAGCGUUAUUCGGAAUUACUGGGCGUAAAGGGCGCGCAGGCGGUCUGGUAAGUCAGUUGUGAAAGCCCGGGGCUCAACCCCGGAAGUGCGACUGAAACUGUCAGACUUGAGUAUGGUAGGGGGAAGUGGAAUUCCUGGUGUAGCGGUGAAAUGCGUAGAUAUCAGGAGGAACACCCGUGGCGAAGGCGACUUCCUGGACCAAUACUGACGCUGAGGCGCGAAGGCGUGGGUAGCAAACAGGAUUAGAUACCCUGGUAGUCCACGCAGUAAACGUUG
Molecule: ribosomal RNA, 743 nt
Filed under: uncultured delta proteobacterium
Lineage: Bacteria; Deltaproteobacteria
Description: bacterial SSU rRNA
Rfam family: Bacterial small subunit ribosomal RNA
Source: RNAcentral